GGUAAAAAAGCUCGUAGUUGGAUUUCUUCUGAGAAUGAGCGGUCUACACCAUGUGUACGCAUCUGCUUCAGUCUCGGAAUCUUCGCAGAAUACGUCUCUGCGCUUGAUUGCGUGGAACGGACUCUGUGACUUUUACUUUGAGGAAAUUAGAGUGUUCACGGCAGGCUAUCGCCAGAAUACAUUAGCAUGGAAUAAUAAUAUAGGAUCUCGAUUCUAUUUUGUUGGUUUCUAGAAGCGAGAUAAUGAUUAAUAGGGACAAUUGGGGGCAUUCGUAUCAACACGUCAGAGGUGGAAUUCUUGGAUUGUGUUGCGACGAACUACUGCGAAAGCAUUUGCCAAGGAUGUUUUCAUUGAUCAAGAACGAAAGUAAGGGGGUCGAAGACGAUUAGAUACCGUCGUAGUCUUUACCAUAAACUAUGCCAACUAGAGAUGGGUGAUCGUUCACUUACGACUUCAUCUGCACCUUAUGAGAUAUCAAAGUUUUUGGGUUCCGGGGGGAGUACGGUCGCAAGUCUGAAACUUAAAGGAAUUGACGGAAGGGCACCACCAGGAGUGGAGCCUGUGGCUUAAUUUGACUCAACACGGGGAAACUCACCAGGUCCAGACAUAAUAAGGAUUGACAGAUUGAUAGCUCUUUCUUGAUUUUAUGGGUGGUGGUGCAUGGCCGUUCUUAGUUCGUGGAGUGAUUUGUCUGCUUAAUCGCGUUAAC
This 709-nucleotide ribosomal RNA is filed under the name uncultured marine alveolate. Its description in RNAcentral is "SSU rRNA". It matches the Rfam family "Eukaryotic small subunit ribosomal RNA", at positions 617 to 1332 of the family's 1831-position model. The record is from RNAcentral.